GGGACAAUACCCCUAAUGCGCCUUGAAAUGAGGAACACAAAAGUCACGUGUAAACAAAAAAUCUCUGUGUAGUGAUAUUUGACACAUUUCUAUGAUAAACAAAUAACUGAGCUGAACCAUUAGUGUUAAUUUAGAAAAUAAGGGAACACAGAAUAAAUGUGUAAAAACCAUGGAGCUAUGAAAUGUGUUCAAAGUAUUAAAAUUUCAAAGAACUUAUUGUGUUAAAAUUGGGAUUUUUUACCAUGAGGAGCGACAUCGCAAAAGGAUACUCGGGGUUUGCUAAAUUACGGAAAAAUGAAUCACACUUCGUACCCCGAAAAUUUAACCACAUAUGUAAAAAUGUCUCAGCUUCGAAACAAGCCAUCAUACAUAUACAAGUUUACGAUAUGGGCUGAGCAACAGAAGAAAACGUUACCAUUACGGCCUAUGGAAUAACAAUUGCGCAUAUUGCCCCAUCUUAUAUUGGGACAAUACCCCUAAUGCGCCUUGAAAUGAGGAACACAAAAGUCACGUGUAAACAAAAAAUCUCUGUGUAGUGAUAUUUGACACAUUUCUAUGAUAAACAAAUAACUGAGCUGAACCAUUAGUGUUAAUUUAGAAAAUAAGGGAACACAGAAUAAAUGUGUAAAAACCAUGGAGCUAUGAAAUGUGUUCAAAGUAUUAAAAUUUCAAAGAACUUAUUGUGUUAAAAUUGGGAUUUUUUACCAUGAGGAGCGACAUCGCAAAAGGAUACUCGGGGUUUGCUAAAUUACGGAAAAAUGAAUCACACUUCGUACCCCGAAAAUUUAACCACAUAUGUAAAAAUGUCUCAGCUUCGAAACAAGCCAUCAUACAUAUACAAGUUUACGAUAUGGGCUGAGCAACAGAAGAAAACGUUACCAUUACGGCCUAUGGAAUAACAAUUGCGCAUAUUGCCCCAUCUUGUGAGGAAGGAUCCAGAGAUGUCUUAAGCUAAUUUCACCUUGUACACCACAGAAAAUUGUUAAAAUGAUGUUCCAGACAUAUCAUUACUUUUAAAUAUGAGAUGACAAACUAAAGGUUUUAAAAAGUCCUGAAUAACUGAAAUGGACAAAAAUACACAGAUUUAUUCAGAAUGUCAUACCGAUGAAGAUCACCUAAAAAUAUUUGGAAAAAUCAGAACUAUGGAUUUCAAUAUGGGACAAUACCCCUAAUGCGCCUUGAAAUGAGGAACACAAAAGUCACGUGUAAACAAAAAAUCUCUGUGUAGUGAUAUUUGACACAUUUCUAUGAUAAACAAAUAACUGAGCUGAACCAUUAGUGUUAAUUUAGAAAAUAAGGGAACACAGAAUAAAUGUGUAAAAACCAUGGAGCUAUGAAAUGUGUUCAAAGUAUUAAAAUUUCAAAGAACUUAUUGUGUUAAAAUUGGGAUUUUUUACCAUGAGGAGCGACAUCGCAAAAGGAUACUCGGGGUUUGCUAAAUUACGGAAAAAUGAAUCACACUUCGUACCCCGAAAAUUUAACCACAUAUGUAAAAAUGUCUCAGCUUCGAAACAAGCCAUCAUACAUAUACAAGUUUACGAUAUGGGCUGAGCAACAGAAGAAAACGUUACCAUUACGGCCUAUGGAAUAACAAUUGCGCAUAUUGCCCCAUCUUAUAUUGGGACAAUACCCCUAAUGCGCCUUGAAAUGAGGAACACAAAAGUCACGUGUAAACAAAAAAUCUCUGUGUAGUGAUAUUUGACACAUUUCUAUGAUAAACAAAUAACUGAGCUGAACCAUUAGUGUUAAUUUAGAAAAUAAGGGAACACAGAAUAAAUGUGUAAAAACCAUGGAGCUAUGAAAUGUGUUCAAAGUAUUAAAAUUUCAAAGAACUUAUUGUGUUAAAAUUGGGAUUUUUUACCAUGAGGAGCGACAUCGCAAAAGGAUACUCGGGGUUUGCUAAAUUACGGAAAAAUGAAUCACACUUCGUACCCCGAAAAUUUAACCACAUAUGUAAAAAUGUCUCAGCUUCGAAACAAGCCAUCAUACAUAUACAAGUUUACGAUAUGGGCUGAGCAACAGAAGAAAACGUUACCAUUACGGCCUAUGGAAUAACAAUUGCGCAUAUUGCCCCAUCUUGUGAGGAAGGAUCCAGAGAUGUCUUAAGCUAAUUUCACCUUGUACACCACAGAAAAUUGUUAAAAUGAUGUUCCAGACAUAUCAUUACUUUUAAAUAUGAGAUGACAAACUAAAGGUUUUAAAAAGUCCUGAAUAACUGAAAUGGACAAAAAUACACAGAUUUAUUCAGAAUGUCAUACCGAUGAAGAUCACCUAAAAAUAUUUGGAAAAAUCAGAACUAUGGAUUUCAAUAUGGGACAAUACCCCUAAUGCGCCUUGAAAUGAGGAACACAAAAGUCACGUGUAAACAAAAAAUCUCUGUGUAGUGAUAUUUGACACAUUUCUAUGAUAAACAAAUAACUGAGCUGAACCAUUAGUGUUAAUUUAGAAAAUAAGGGAACACAGAAUAAAUGUGUAAAAACCAUGGAGCUAUGAAAUGUGUUCAAAGUAUUAAAAUUUCAAAGAACUUAUUGUGUUAAAAUUGGGAUUUUUUACCAUGAGGAGCGACAUCGCAAAAGGAUACUCGGGGUUUGCUAAAUUACGGAAAAAUGAAUCACACUUCGUACCCCGAAAAUUUAACCACAUAUGUAAAAAUGUCUCAGCUUCGAAACAAGCCAUCAUACAUAUACAAGUUUACGAUAUGGGCUGAGCAACAGAAGAAAACGUUACCAUUACGGCCUAUGGAAUAACAAUUGCGCAUAUUGCCCCAUCUUAUAUUGGGACAAUACCCCUAAUGCGCCUUGAAAUGAGGAACACAAAAGUCACGUGUAAACAAAAAAUCUCUGUGUAGUGAUAUUUGACACAUUUCUAUGAUAAACAAAUAACUGAGCUGAACCAUUAGUGUUAAUUUAGAAAAUAAGGGAACACAGAAUAAAUGUGUAAAAACCAUGGAGCUAUGAAAUGUGUUCAAAGUAUUAAAAUUUCAAAGAACUUAUUGUGUUAAAAUUGGGAUUUUUUACCAUGAGGAGCGACAUCGCAAAAGGAUACUCGGGGUUUGCUAAAUUACGGAAAAAUGAAUCACACUUCGUACCCCGAAAAUUUAACCACAUAUGUAAAAAUGUCUCAGCUUCGAAACAAGCCAUCAUACAUAUACAAGUUUACGAUAUGGGCUGAGCAACAGAAGAAAACGUUACCAUUACGGCCUAUGGAAUAACAAUUGCGCAUAUUGCCCCAUCUUAUAUUGGGACAAUACCCCUAAUGCGCCUUGAAAUGAGGAACACAAAAGUCACGUGUAAACAAAAAAUCUCUGUGUAGUGAUAUUUGACACAUUUCUAUGAUAAACAAAUAACUGAGCUGAACCAUUAGUGUUAAUUUAGAAAAUAAGGGAACACAGAAUAAAUGUGUAAAAACCAUGGAGCUAUGAAAUGUGUUCAAAGUAUUAAAAUUUCAAAGAACUUAUUGUGUUAAAAUUGGGAUUUUUUACCAUGAGGAGCGACAUCGCAAAAGGAUACUCGGGGUUUGCUAAAUUACGGAAAAAUGAAUCACACUUCGUACCCCGAAAAUUUAACCACAUAUGUAAAAAUGUCUCAGCUUCGAAACAAGCCAUCAUACAUAUACAAGUUUACGAUAUGGGCUGAGCAACAGAAGAAAACGUUACCAUUACGGCCUAUGGAAUAACAAUUGCGCAUAUUGCCCCAUCUUGUGAGGAAGGAUCCAGAGAUGUCUUAAGCUAAUUUCACCUUGUACACCACAGAAAAUUGUUAAAAUGAUGUUCCAGACAUAUCAUUACUUUUAAAUAUGAGAUGACAAACUAAAGGUUUUAAAAAGUCCUGAAUAACUGAAAUGGACAAAAAUACACAGAUUUAUUCAGAAUGUCAUACCGAUGAAGAUCACCUAAAAAUAUUUGGAAAAAUCAGAACUAUGGAUUUCAAUAUGGGACAAUACCCCUAAUGCGCCUUGAAAUGAGGAACACAAAAGUCACGUGUAAACAAAAAAUCUCUGUGUAGUGAUAUUUGACACAUUUCUAUGAUAAACAAAUAACUGAGCUGAACCAUUAGUGUUAAUUUAGAAAAUAAGGGAACACAGAAUAAAUGUGUAAAAACCAUGGAGCUAUGAAAUGUGUUCAAAGUAUUAAAAUUUCAAAGAACUUAUUGUGUUAAAAUUGGGAUUUUUUACCAUGAGGAGCGACAUCGCAAAAGGAUACUCGGGGUUUGCUAAAUUACGGAAAAAUGAAUCACACUUCGUACCCCGAAAAUUUAACCACAUAUGUAAAAAUGUCUCAGCUUCGAAACAAGCCAUCAUACAUAUACAAGUUUACGAUAUGGGCUGAGCAACAGAAGAAAACGUUACCAUUACGGCCUAUGGAAUAACAAUUGCGCAUAUUGCCCCAUCUUAUAUUGGGACAAUACCCCUAAUGCGCCUUGAAAUGAGGAACACAAAAGUCACGUGUAAACAAAAAAUCUCUGUGUAGUGAUAUUUGACACAUUUCUAUGAUAAACAAAUAACUGAGCUGAACCAUUAGUGUUAAUUUAGAAAAUAAGGGAACACAGAAUAAAUGUGUAAAAACCAUGGAGCUAUGAAAUGUGUUCAAAGUAUUAAAAUUUCAAAGAACUUAUUGUGUUAAAAUUGGGAUUUUUUACCAUGAGGAGCGACAUCGCAAAAGGAUACUCGGGGUUUGCUAAAUUACGGAAAAAUGAAUCACACUUCGUACCCCGAAAAUUUAACCACAUAUGUAAAAAUGUCUCAGCUUCGAAACAAGCCAUCAUACAUAUACAAGUUUACGAUAUGGGCUGAGCAACAGAAGAAAACGUUACCAUUACGGCCUAUGGAAUAACAAUUGCGCAUAUUGCCCCAUCUUGUGAGGAAGGAUCCAGAGAUGUCUUAAGCUAAUUUCACCUUGUACACCACAGAAAAUUGUUAAAAUGAUGUUCCAGACAUAUCAUUACUUUUAAAUAUGAGAUGACAAACUAAAGGUUUUAAAAAGUCCUGAAUAACUGAAAUGGACAAAAAUACACAGAUUUAUUCAGAAUGUCAUACCGAUGAAGAUCACCUAAAAUUAUUUGGAAAAAUCAGAACUAUGGAUUUCAAUAUGGGACAAUACCCCUAAUGCGCCUUGAAAUGAGGAACACAAAAGUCACGUGUAAACAAAAAAUCUCUGUGUAGUGA
Molecule: long non-coding RNA, 5163 nt
Organism: Mytilus trossulus (common blue mussel)
Lineage: Eukaryota; Metazoa; Mollusca; Bivalvia; Mytilida; Mytilidae
Exons: 9
Source: RefSeq, a predicted model, not a curated record